Molecule: ribosomal RNA, 433 nt
Filed under: uncultured bacterium
Lineage: Bacteria
Description: partial 16S ribosomal RNA
Rfam family: Bacterial small subunit ribosomal RNA
Source: RNAcentral
AACGAACGCUGGCGGCAUGCCUAACACAUGCAAGUCGAACGAUACCUUCGGGUCUAGUGGCGCACGGGUGCGUAACGCGUGGGAACCUGCCCUUAGGUUCGGAAUAACUCCCCGAAAGGGGUGCUAAUACCGGAUAAUGUCUUCGGACCAAAGAUUUAUCGCCUUUGGAUGGGCCCGCGUUGGAUUAGCUAGUUGGUAGGGUAAAAGCCUACCAAGGCGACGAUCCAUAGCUGGUCUGAGAGGAUGAGCAGCCACACUGGGACUGAGACACGGCCCAGACUCCUACGGGAGGCAGCAGUGGGGAAUAUUGGACAAUGGGCGAAAGCCUGAUCCAGCAAUGCCGCGUGAGUGAUGAAGGCCUUAGGGUUGUAAAGCUCUUUUACCCGGGAUGAUAAUGACAUUACCGGGAGAAUAAGCUCCGGCUAACUCCGUG